UGGCGUCUUGUGCUUUUUUUCAGUUUUUUUUUUUUUUGUGGAGAUUCUGGUGCCUGUUUUCCUGUUCUCUAAAAACGCCUAUUUUCACUGUCAUGUGACGACCGAGUGCUUGUUUUCCCGACGUUUCGAAGUGUCCAUUACGCGGAAUUCCCUACGAGAUCAUGGAACUGUUCGCAAGUGUCAUUGGGCAACAACAAAUAGGUCUUACGGUUGGAGUGAGUUUGUUGAUCAUCGUUGUGAUUGUCGUGCUCGCAGCUGUUGUUUACACACCACCGGGCGCUACAGCACGAUGCCUGAGGAGAAACAGGAGUGAAGAACACCUCUCCUUAACUGACAACAGAAUAUCAUGACUUUGUAAAGUUUUGUAUUCUAAAAAAACUUUGUUUUGACACCUGAAAGAGCAUCUCAUCGGAUACAUUAAAGGAAUUAUAUGAACAGUAUCCGCUUAUUACGUUACACGACUUAUCGCUGUAAAUAAAUCGCACGAAAUAUUGAUUUAAUACAUUAAUGGGGAUUACAGACCUCGAAUGAUCACGACUGACCAAUCAGAAACAAGUUUUUUAAAGAGCCAUGUAACUGGUGCUU
Molecule: long non-coding RNA, 585 nt
Organism: Paramisgurnus dabryanus
Lineage: Eukaryota; Metazoa; Chordata; Actinopteri; Cypriniformes; Cobitidae
Source: RefSeq, a predicted model, not a curated record